Molecule: ribosomal RNA, 439 nt
Filed under: uncultured bacterium
Lineage: Bacteria
Description: partial 16S ribosomal RNA
Rfam family: Bacterial small subunit ribosomal RNA
Source: RNAcentral
CCUACGGGGGGCAGCAGUAGGGAAUAUUGCUCAAUGGGGAAACCCUGAAGCAACAACGCCGCGUGGCGGAUGAAGGUUUUCGUAUUGUAAACUCCUUUUGUUAGAGAAGAUAAUGCCCGUCUCUUACGAAUAAUCACCGGCUAACUCCGUGCCAGCAGCCGCUGUAAUACGGAGGGUGCCAGCGUUACUCGGAAUCACUUGGCGUAAAGAGCGCGUAGGCGGGAUAGCAAGUCAGAUGUGAAAUCCUAUGGCUUAACCAUAGAACUGCAUUUGAAACUGUUAUUCUUGAGUAUGGGAGAGGUAGGUGGAAUUCUUGGUGUAGGGGUAAAAUCCGUAGAGAUCAAGAGGAAUACUCAUUGCGAAGGCGACCUGCUAGAACAUAACUGACGCUGAUGCGCGAAAGCGUGGGGAGCAAACAGGAUUAGAUACCCGGGUAGUC